UACCCAGCAAGAGUCUGAGGGUCUCUGC
RNAcentral lists this non-coding RNA (28 nucleotides) under Mus musculus (house mouse). The record is from RNAcentral. Lineage: Eukaryota; Metazoa; Chordata; Mammalia; Rodentia; Muridae.